Molecule: ribosomal RNA, 253 nt
Filed under: uncultured bacterium
Lineage: Bacteria
Description: partial 16S ribosomal RNA
Rfam family: Bacterial small subunit ribosomal RNA
Source: RNAcentral
GACGUAGGGGGCGAGCGUUGUCCGGAUUUAUUGGGCGUAAAGAGCGUGUAGGCGGCCAGAUAGGUCAGCUGUGAAAACUCGAGGCUCAACCUCGAGACGUCGGUUGAAACCAUCUGGCUAGAGUCCGGAAGAGGAGAGUGGAAUUCCCGGUGUAGCGGUGAAAUGCGCAGAUAUCGGGAAGAACACCCGUGGCGAAGGCGGCUCUCUGGGACGGUACUGACGCUGAGACGCGAAAGCGUGGGGAGCGAACAGG